RNAcentral lists this ribosomal RNA (457 nucleotides) under uncultured bacterium. RNAcentral describes it as "bacterial SSU rRNA". It matches the Rfam family "Bacterial small subunit ribosomal RNA", at positions 328 to 803 of the family's 1533-position model. The record is from RNAcentral.
GAAUUCAACUCCUACGGGAGGCAGCAGUGGGGAAUUUUGGACAAUGGGGGCAACCCUGAUCCAGCCAUGCCGCGUGAGUGAUGAAGGCCCUAGGGUUGUAAAGCUCUUUUGUGCGGGAAGAUAAUGACGGUACCGCAAGAAUAAGCCCCGGCUAACUUCGUGCCAGCAGCCGCGGUAAUACGAAGGGGCUAGCGUUGCUCGGAAUCACUGGGCGUAAAGGGUGCGUAGGCGGGUCUUUAAGUCAGGGGUGAAAUCCUGGGGCUCAACUCCAGAACUGCCUUUGAUACUGAGGAUCUUGAGUUCGGGAGAGGUGAGUGGAACUGCGAGUGUAGAGGUGAAAUUCGUAGAUAUUCGCAAGAACACCAGUGGCGAAGGCGGCUCACUGGCCCGAUAUUGACGCUGAGGCACGAAAGCGUGGGGAGCAAACAGGAUUAGAAACCCUAGUAGUCCAGGCGUU